AAUUAUUCGUGAAGAUGCGGAGUACUAACGGCUAGACGGUAAGACCCCGUGUACCUUAACUAUAUCUUCGCAGUGACAACCUUAAUCGAAUGUGUAGGAUAGGUAGGAGGUGGUGACACAUAACGACCAAUCCUAAAAGACCACUCUUUCUUCUAAGGAUACUUAACCGCUGCAUCGAUCAUUCGGGGGGAGGUGGGAUACUGCGAAAUGGGUAGUUUAUCUAGGGCGGAUGCCUCCUAAAGAGUAACGGAGGUAUGCGAAGGUACGCUCAAGCUAAGAUUCUGCUCAUGAGCGUAAUGGUAAAAGCCUGCCUCACUGUGAGACCGGCUGGUCGAAUAGAGAUGAAAGUUGGCCAUAGUGAUUCGAGAGUCCCAUGUGAAAGGGCUCUCGCUUAACGGAUCAAAGGUACGCAGGGGAUAACAGGUUGAUGACUCCUAAGAGCUCUUAUCGACAGAGUCGUUUGGCACCUCGAUGUCAACUCAUUAUAUCCUAGGGUUGAAGAAGGUCUCAAGGGUUCGAUUGUUUGCCGAUUCAAGUGGUAUGUGAUUUGGGUUUAGAAAGUUGUGAGACAAUUCAGUUCCUAUCUACCGUUGGUGUUAAAGGGAGAACUACGAGGAGCCAAUCCUAGUACGAGAAGACAGGGUUGGGCUAACCUAUGGUGUACCAGUUUUUAUGCCAAUAGCAGCGCCGGACAGCUAAGUUGGUAUGGAAGAACUGUUGCGCAAUGGGAAAUCCUUCUAUAUACAAGUUCUCGGAUGAGGUUUUUAAAAAGAACUUCGAUAUACGAUAGGUGUAAGCACCGCGAGGGUUGAAGCAAUCUCGUACUAAACGA
Molecule: non-coding RNA, 832 nt
Filed under: Capsicum annuum
Lineage: Eukaryota; Viridiplantae; Streptophyta; Magnoliopsida; Solanales; Solanaceae
Description: Bacterial large subunit ribosomal RNA
Rfam family: Bacterial large subunit ribosomal RNA
Source: Rfam by way of RNAcentral